GACGAACGCUGGCGGCGUGCUUAACACAUGCAAGUCGAACGGAAAGGCCUUUUCGGAGGUACUCGAGUGGCGAACGGGUGAGUAACACGUGGGUGAUCUGCCCUGCACUCUGGGAUAAGCCUGGGAAACUGGGUCUAAUACCGGAUAGGACCGCACUUUAGUGUGUGUGGUGGAAAGUUUUUUCGGUGUGGGAUGAGCCCGCGGCCUAUCAGCUUGUUGGUGGGGUAAUGGCCUACCAAGGCGGCGACGGGUAGCCGGACUGAGAGGUUGGUCGGCCACAUUGGGACUGAGAUACGGCCCAGACUCCUACGGGAGGCAGCAGUGGGGAAUAUUGCACAAUGGGCGCAAGCCUGAUGCAGCGACGCCGCGUGGGGGAUGACGGCCUUCGGGUUGUAAACUCCUUUCGCCAGGGACGAAGCGUUUUGUGACGGUACCUGGAGAAGAAGCACCGGCUAACUACGUG
RNAcentral lists this ribosomal RNA (463 nucleotides) under uncultured bacterium. RNAcentral's name for it is "partial 16S ribosomal RNA". It matches the Rfam family "Bacterial small subunit ribosomal RNA", at positions 28 to 507 of the family's 1533-position model. The record is from RNAcentral.